ACGGCUUGGUGAUCUUCUCAAUUCAAGUACUGGACUAUUAAGAUCUAAAAUUUAAUUUUAAAACUAAUUAUAUGAACAUGUAAAUUAUCAUACAAUCUAUGCGUACACAUGAUCAUAUAAAUAUGUUGUGCAUCUAAUCAUAUUAGAUCAACGCAUAAGUUUAUUUCAGAUCUGAACUUAUUUUUAUAUAGCAUAUAAAAUUAUUAAUUUAGAUCUGAAAUAAUCUAAAAAUCUAUUUCAAAAAUGUGUAUGAUGGCAUAAAAAAUUCUGA
This 271-nucleotide long non-coding RNA is filed under the name Elaeis guineensis (African oil palm). RNAcentral describes it as "long non-coding RNA (EGUI_LNC012225)". The record is from RNAcentral. Lineage: Eukaryota; Viridiplantae; Streptophyta; Magnoliopsida; Arecales; Arecaceae.